GUGAAUCAUCGAAUCUUUGAACGCAAAUUGCACUCUCCUCGGAGAGUAUGCCUGUUUGAGGGUCAGCCCAUAAAAAAUCGACAUAGUCGCUGUUUCGCGGUGGCAUUCGUCGGGAAUUGGGUCAUCUUAAACCUUUUGGUUUUAAGCGGCUUAAAAUUUUCUUUAUGAUUCCAUGAACGUUUCUAAGAUUUAUUUCUUACACGUUUAAAGGUAUCGAUUUUUAUUAGACGUGGCCAUUGCAUCGGAUCGCGCCCAUAAAUAUUUCUUUACUGAACUUCG
RNAcentral lists this unclassified non-coding RNA (279 nucleotides) under Glomus sp. RNAcentral's name for it is "partial contains 5.8S ribosomal RNA and internal transcribed spacer 2". The stretch from base 1 to 65 matches the Rfam family "5.8S ribosomal RNA", at positions 84 to 154 of the family's 154-position model. Lineage: Eukaryota; Fungi; Glomeromycota; Glomeromycetes; Glomerales; Glomeraceae. The record is from RNAcentral.